CCGUCCGUGUCGAGGUGUGUGAUGCUAAGCAUGUGAGCUUGUCUUGGGAGUGUUUUUGAUGCUUCUGGGGUGGGUGAGUGUGUGAACCGAUCAUGUAGUAGGCAAGCUGCGGAGGGACGCAGUGAGGUAGCUCAUCCCCGGUGAUGGUUGUCCGGGGCUAAGUGUGUGGACUGUCUGGUAGGUAAAUCCGCUGGGCGUGAAGGUUGAGGCAUGAUGGGGAGCCCAUGGUUGUGGGUGAGUGAGUGAUCCUGUACUGUCGAGAAAAGCUUCGUGAGCGAGGUGGCGGGUCCGCCCGUACCCUAAACCGACACUGGUGGAUAGGUAGAGUAUACCGAGGCGAUCGAGUGAAUCGUGGUGAAGGAACUCGGCAAAAUGCCCCCGUAACUUUGGGAUAAGGGGGACCUGAGCUGUCGUGCACCCGUGCGGUGUGGUGGCGGUGAGGGGCGCAGAGUCCAGGGGGAAACGACUGUUUACCAAAAACACAGGUCCGUGCGAAGUCGUAAGACGAUGUAUACGGACUGACUCCUGCCCGGUGCUGGAAGGUUAAGGGGAACUGUGAGUGUAUGCGUAGCGGUGAACUUAAGCCCCAGUAAACGGCGGUGGUAACUAUAACCAUCCUAAGGUAGCGAAAUUCCUUGUCGGGUAAGUUCCGACCUGCACGAAUGGAGUAACGAUUUCCCUACUGUCUCCACCAUGAACUCGGUGAAAUUGCAUUACGAGUAAAGAUGCUCGUUACGCGCAGCAGGACGGAAAGACCCCGGGACCUUUACUAUAGUUUGGUAUUGGUGAUUGGGACGGUUUGUGUAGGAUAGGUGGGAGACGUUGAUGCGGCCACGCUAGUGGUGGUGGAGUCGUUGGUGAAAUACCACUCUGAUUGUUCUGGUUAUCUCACUGUGGACCGUGAUCCGGUUCAAGGACAGUGCCUGAUGGGUAGUUUGACUGGGGCGGUCGCCUCCUAAAGGGUAACGGAGGCGCCCAAAGGUUCCCUCAGCCUGGUUGGUAAUCAGGUGGUGAGUGUAAGUGCACAAGGGGGCUUGACUGUGAGACUGACAGGUCGAGCAGGGACGAAAGUCGGGACUAGUGAUCUGACGGUGGCUUGUGGAUGCGCCGUCACUCAACGGAUAAAAGGUACCCCGGGGAUAACAGGCUGAUCUUGCCCGAGCGCUCAUAGCGACGGCAUGGUUUGGCACCUCGAUG
Molecule: ribosomal RNA, 1197 nt
Filed under: Cutibacterium acnes
Lineage: Bacteria; Bacillati; Actinomycetota; Actinomycetes; Propionibacteriales; Propionibacteriaceae
Description: bacterial LSU rRNA
Rfam family: Bacterial large subunit ribosomal RNA
Source: RNAcentral